UACAACCUGUACUACAUAAAAUGAUUCUGCCCUUUGGUGGAUUAUUAAAUGGCCAUUGUCCAUCAACAGACUUCCCAGAACUGCCAACUCUAACUUCUGGUGAACAUGGUUGGAAGAACAGUCUACACUACCAGCCUUCUGUAGUGACCACCAUAAUGUACUCCAAUGGCAAAAGGAUCCAAUCCAGGAUACCAAACUGCAUCUAGAACUCCAACCUUUGAGGAAAAUUAGGACCAGAGUUAGAGCUAUAAAGACCUCAGAUCUAAUGGAUAGAGACUUAGGUUUGGAAUCAGGAAGAGUAAAUAGAAAUAGCACAGAUGUAAGUCUUGGAAAAACCUUAACUUCAAAGAUGCAGCCAUCAUUAUGUUUUACUUCAGGCAAUUUAUGUAUCUGAUGGAAAUCUCAGGUCAUCUGGUAUUCCCCUUUAUUGUCAGAAUUUAGCAAGGGCUCUUUUAAGUCAAAACAUUGAAAACCCUAUUAACUGUGAUACACUCCUGGACUUAAGCAAAGGGCAGUAUCUCAGAGAUUUAGCAGUAUCAUCUAGAUGAAAAUGUGUAUAUAAUAUUCUGAGAUAUAGUUAUCUUCAUACGUAGUUACUAUCUUAUGUAUCUCAUCUCCUUCCAGUUUAUGCCUUAUCCCUUGACCUGUAGCUACAGUAAGCAUCACAAUGUUUCUUUAGUUUGUUCAUUCACCCAAAACAGGUAUUGAGAACUACUUUGUGCUAAGCACUGGGCUGAGCUCUGUGGACCCAUUAGUCUUUUGGAUGAACCCAGACAGGAUAGCCAGGCUUUAUUGUACAGUGGAUAAAUGCUAAUAGAGGUAUUCCUAGAGUGCUGGGGAAAGAAGCAUAGAAGACAUGCAUGGAGAAGAGGAAACUCAUGCAAAAGACAUGGAAGCAUGAGGUAGCAUGGCCUUUUGAGUGUUCAUGCCUUGCCUGGGAGACACGGCAGGGACCGGAACUGGAUGUGUGGGUGGGGGCUUGGGAUGACAAAGACCUUGGAUGCCAACUGAGGGGUCUGAAUUAAUCAUGCCGAGGAUGGGGAACCAACGAUCAAAUUUUGCUUUGGAAAGAUCAGUGUAGAGAAUGGAUUGCCGGAGGAAAGAAUUUGAAGCAGGGAAAGCAGAGGGAACUUUUGGGGUAGUGUGGUUUAUGCAAGAAACUACAAAGCCCUCCUUUCUCUUCUUUGCUUGACCAGCAUCUAAAUCAUCCAUAUAGGAAUAGGUUGAAAUGCUACUUCCUCUGAGAAGCCUUUUUUCCCUACUCCUCAGGACAUACAUAGUCACUCACUCCUAUAGCUCUUUGCUCAUAAUUUAAUUAUAGUAUUUAUCACUGAGUGUUGUACGGAUUGUUUGUCAUGUCUAUCUCCCUACUACAGUGAGUUUUCUAGGUCAGGGCCUCUGUCUUAUUCAUCUUGGCAUCUUUAGCAUUUAGGACAGUGCCUUGCACAGAGUGUCUGCUCAAACAUUUGUUGAGUGAGAGACAGAAUGAAUAUUUGCCAAUCACGGAUAGAAUGCAUGAGAAAGUUGAUCUUUCCCCCCAAACUGAAUAUUCAUUAUUACCCAAAUUAAUUUUUGCAAAAUUCCAUGCACGAUCAUUUAAUUAGUCCAAUUGAGGAAACAAGGAAAUGAGACUCAAAGAAGAAACUGUAAGUCUUUAAGCAAUUGAUAUAGAUUAGAAUUGCUUGGUCAUGAUUAGAUAAUCAAAAUUUGUGAGUUAGCAAGUAAAAAAGAGAAAUGUUUAUGGAUGCAAACUCAUUGUGGAAUAUAUUAUAAAAAUGAAGUUGUGUGAUUUACCUCAACUGUAUUAUGUGGACAGAAAUAUCUUUAGUUCUGAGGGUUAUCAGUGGGGGUAAGCAAAAUCUCUGUUGCUGCUGAGUGCUAAUUUUCUGGGAAAAGAACUCGAUUUAGCCUAUUUGGGUCUCUGUUGCCUAACUUAUAAAUAGUCACUUGAACCGGGGGUCACAAAAGGAAAUGCCUAGAGGGGCCAGGUAAGUAGCAGAAAUGAACAAAGGCAGCUGUUGCAAUAAACUAGGAUGUUGGAAACACUUGUGAACUAGAAUCAUGCCUGACCCAUCUCAAGGUGACAGCCCUUACUCCGAUUCAACAGAUAGCUGACAUGCAGGAACUUAGGGUCAGUUUGCUGUAAUUUUUUUUUUUUGAGAAGCCAAAUAUCUCAAUUUUUUAAUAGAAACUGU
Long non-coding RNA from Balaenoptera musculus (blue whale), 2195 nucleotides. RefSeq lists it as uncharacterized. The transcript is spliced from 3 exons. Lineage: Eukaryota; Metazoa; Chordata; Mammalia; Artiodactyla; Balaenopteridae. The record is from RefSeq and is a predicted model, not a curated record.